GUGUGCCAUCUGUGAUGUGUGCCAUGUGUGUGCCAUGCCGUGCCAUGCCGUGCCACGCCGUGCCACGCUGUCCCACAUCCCCACCCAGCGCCGGGCCCCAUCUCGCCGUGAGUCACGCCGGGAUAAGUGUGAGUCACCUCAGGACUAAAAUACAAAUAACCCCUGCCCCCCUCGGAGAGCCCCGCUCCUCGCUCCGUGCUCGGGGCUGCUGCCUGUGCCCCAAACCCCGGGGGUGCCGCAGUCCCGGACCGCGUUCCUGUCCCCGAGGGGCCGGGAGCUGCACCCUCCUCCGGCCCCAGAGCUGAUGUUUGCAGCGCGCCGCUUGCUCGCCGCAGGAAUGCGGAUGGUGUGACACGGAAAUCAAGCGCUGGAUCGAGUUCACCGGGGGUGUACGCAGGGAGAACCUGACUGAAACCCUUCCGCACCCACAGAGAGCACGGCAACAUUGCGCUGGGACAAAAGUCUCAAACAAAAGUGAAAAAAAAAGCUGAAUUUGAGAUGUAUCCUGUAUUUUCUAACCAGAAUGAAGCAGCAUGAUUACAGCAACAUAAACCAGAUUUAACUCUGGUUUCUUUGCAGGUGCUUCUGUCACAGCAUCCAGCGAGCCCGGCGACAGAUCGCACUGCAGGGAGCUGCUGGGUGCUGCCCUUCUCCUCUUCCUCAUCUUCCUUCCUCCUUCUCCUUUUCCCUCUCUUCAUCCUCCUCUUCCUCCCCUGCACACCCACCUCUCCAUCCCCUCUGUCCCAUCUCUGGCUCUGUGGGGCGGUGGCCCCUGGCCGGUGCUGUGACAGCAGCUGGGCACAUCUUUGGCACCCGAGGCUCUCUGUGCUGGGACAGGGCAGGAGCUCCCGGCCCUUAAAAGCAGAUUAUUCUGUAAGGAAGGGAAGAGAAAGGAACGGGAGCCCCAAAAUGAUGCAAAGCUGAGGGCAGCAACCCCACACCCCCCCAGGCUCCUUCCCCGCUGUGGAAUUCCCAAACAAAACCAACUUUUGCAGAAGGAUUUCAAUGAAACCCCGCGUAGUUAACUACUCUAAACUCCCUAUUUUUUUCCUUAAAAACUUUUAAUUGCUGCCCCACAGCCCGCACUGGCCGGCCGGGGCGGUUCUUUGCUGCUCGCCCCAGGAUGGAGCAGAGCUGCGGAGCGUGCAGGGGGAGCAGCUCCUCUGCUGCUUUGAAAACUGCCCAGAAAUCGCUGCAGCCUCUUUUCACAGUGUUUUUCUUUCUUUGAAAACAGGAGUGGGAGGAGGGGUUGGAUGUUGGCGUGUAGCCUUGGAGACCGAAGGCGAGGAAUAUUGAAUGGAAAGCCAAACACGGACUCCAGGCCUGGCGUGGAGCUCGGCUCGGGCUGGCCCGGAGCUCCCAGCGCUGCCCCCUCAGCCGGAUCAAUCGGACACAGCCCUGACGAGAGAUGCGGCUCCCAAAAGUUCCUCAUUCCCCUUCUCUUCCCUCUUCUCUUCCCGAUCAUCUCUUCACUGAAGCCCCCGGCUGACCAACACCACCACGUGCAAGCUGAGCUCUCUCUGUGGCUCUGUUGAAGAGCCUGGAAGUGCUCUCCCAGCUGGGCAGGUUUGGGGGAAGUACCCAGAGAUGUUCUGGGCAUUUCUGCAGCUCCUGAGCACGGCUCCAAAAGGAUCUUCCUUCCCCAGAAAGAAGGAAAGAAAAAAUCAAGGAAGAAAAGAGCAGCACAACUCAGCUGUUUCUAUAACAAAUCCUCAUCAUCACAUCUCCAAACUGCUCAGUUCCCUUUCUGACAGCGAAAAUAACACCAAACCUUGCUUAAGUUAGUGAGCUUUAUUUAGGAAAUAAAUAAAAUCAUAAGAAAAUGA
Molecule: long non-coding RNA, 1826 nt
Organism: Catharus ustulatus (Swainson's thrush)
Lineage: Eukaryota; Metazoa; Chordata; Aves; Passeriformes; Turdidae
Exons: 2
Source: RefSeq, a predicted model, not a curated record